This 2102-nucleotide long non-coding RNA is filed under the name Oryctolagus cuniculus (rabbit). RNAcentral describes it as "lncRNA (ENSOCUG00000032217.1)". Lineage: Eukaryota; Metazoa; Chordata; Mammalia; Lagomorpha; Leporidae. The record is from RNAcentral.
CUGAAAGUGAAAAGACUUUGUAAGUAAAAAAUAAAGCCAGGACAAAUUUAUAAGAUUAGAAAAUAAUCUAAGUUUUAUUUUAAUAAUAUCUCUUAUUUACCAUUCAUUUUAAAAUUUGAUGAGACGAUAUUUAUCCAGUGCAAUAUUUGAAGAAACUUGAUAACAAAGUAAAUAUUAACAAAAUGUUUACUGAAUGUUUGUUGACACAUAAUUUUCACAGUGCGUAUACUAGUUAACAAAACUUUUUCCCUUUUUCUAUUUUUCAAAUUCAGAAAGACUAGUUUUACUUUGCUGUACAGCUAAGUGACUCUCAGGAAUUCUCAACUCUAAUAAUUAAUGAAAUGCAAUUGGAGAAUGAGCAGUUAUAUAUUCUUGGUCGAUUUUGCAAAUGUUGUCCUACUCUUUUAAAACAUUAUUUGAAAAUUCUCUUUGAUAAAAGAUGGAGAGCACUAUAAAUAAUCUAACUGACUUAACGGAUAAGGAAAAAAGAAAAAAAAACUCGAUAGUUUCUUGCAAUAUCAUAAUUUAUGUGAAGCAUGUAAAAAAAAGCUAUGCAUACAUAACACCUUUCCUGUCUGGCUUCAUCUGUAUUCAUUUGUUGUCAAAACAGGUUUCCAUAUUUAACUUCUUUUUUUGAUUAUGCCUUUUCCUUUAUUUCAUGGAAUGAUAUGUUAUUAUCUCUGAAGUGUAGAUUUCUGCCAAGUUCUAUGCACUUCAGUGUUAAGAGUAUGGCCCACAACUCUGGGAAUCUUUGUUGAAGCUGUAGAAAUAAAAUGAAUAGUAUAAAAGCUUGAUGGCAUCUGUGGAUAGGAAACUCAUUAAAGGCCCCAGCCCUCUGUUUUAUUUCUAACCACAUUUUCCCUGUGGGAUUUCAAUGUCUUGCAGGAUGAAACCAGCAGGACUCAUUACUUACAAAACAAUGUUUAGAGUCCUUUCGUGGUGCUGGAAUGCUUCUGCCAGUCAGAGGCCUGUUACUGCUACUCAGAGUGGCCCCAGGACUGUUGACAUCAGAACCAUGGAGGGAUGCAUCUGUUCCAGCCCUCCCGAACCAGAACCUAACUUCCAGGUAUUUGGUGGGCAUAUCAGACUUUUGGAGAAGUGAUGGUUUGUGCAAUUUUUUCUCCCAAAAGGUACCUGUUACUCAAAUGUUUUUGAGCACUGGAGUGGAGAGAUAAUGGAGGCCUAUUGUUCUGUUCAUGUGGUUAUCAGGAGUACAUUUGUCUAGUAAUGGGACAGUGUGUAGAUGCAUAGGUCCUUGUAAAACAGUCCAGAAUGAUGAACAACCCAAGAACAUCAUGCAAACAAUAUGGACUGUCGAUCUGGAUUUGGGCUGGAGCACCAGUUUCACCACAUACCAGCUCCACCACAUACCAGCUCCAUAAGCGCUGUAAGCUCCUUGACCUUUGUCAGCCUUAUGUUCUUGUGUGUGAAGUUGGGAAAAUACCGCUGACCUUUUAGAUUUGUCGAGAAGAUUACAUUAAGAACCAUACGGGAAGCAUGUGACACACUGUAAGGAAAUAAUACAUUUUAGUUCAAUUUCCCUUCAUGUUCUACAAGUGACAAAUGUCCUUAGUGAUUUUAAUGGUUUCAGAUUUAACAUCGAGACUCCACAGCAGCCAAUGUGAGAAAAGUGGAGGGAGGGAUGUUUGCUCUUCUCUACAUGAGCCCUUCCAUUGCUGAGCAAGGGUCAUCAUAUUCUAUUCUGAUGCAGCUGGACUGCAGGUAGUUUUUGUGUAUUGGUUAUUGAUUAGUCUCACAAAAACCUUAUUCAGGGGGAACUGUCACUGUAUCAUCUAUUUAUAGGUGACAAACUUAUGUAACCUUCCCAAGGUCAGGCAGCUUGGAAGAGUUCUGAGAAUCAAACCCUGUGCUCUUUUUCAGGAGUCCACAUUAUUACAACCGUGUUAGACGCAGGAAUGGAAAGAUUCAGCCACUUUCUUUCUGUAAUGACCAAGGACAUGUAUUUUCAGGUUGAGAGGCGAUUCUAAAUUUGUGAAGAUUCUGAAAUGAACUGACACAUACAGGUGUAGCUGCCUUAGCUCCACCUCAUUUUUUUUUUUUUUAAUUUGACAGUUGAGUCAUAGACAGUGAGAGAGAGAGAC